Molecule: long non-coding RNA, 597 nt
Organism: Clupea harengus (Atlantic herring)
Lineage: Eukaryota; Metazoa; Chordata; Actinopteri; Clupeiformes; Clupeidae
Source: Ensembl
GUGAGGACGACCAGCUGGCCCUCUGCUGGGAGUGUGGAGACUCAGACAGACACCAGGGACACAGAGUCUCCCCCCAUCAGCAGGCACUGCGGGACUGCAGGGAGGAGCUGAUGGCCUCCAUGCAGCCUCUGUUUCAGUGCCUGAAGACUGCCACAGGUGCACAGCAGACCUGCAGACAAAUGGCUAAGCACAUCCCAGCGCAGUCUGAGGAGACGGAGAGUCGGAUAAAAGAGCAGUUUGAGGAGCUCCGGCGGUUCCUGAGGGCAGAGGAGGAGGCGCGGAUAGCCGCCGUGAGGGAGGAGCAGGAGAGGAAGGCUCGGGCGCGUCGAGAGAGGGCGGAGAGGAUGAGGAAGGAGAUGUGCAAGCUCCUCCACACGCUCAAAGCCUCCCAGAUGGAGAUGGAGAUGGACGGGGGAGACGGGCUUCACUUCCUUCAGGUUAAACACAAACAAGACUGUAGCACUGAUGAGAUGUUGGCACUGAUGAGAUGUUGGCACUGAUGAGAUGUUGGCACUGAUGAGAUGUUUUGCACUGAUGAGAUGUUGGCACUGAUGAGAUGUUGGCACUGAUGAGAUGUUUUGCACUGAUGAGAUGUUU